GAUGAACGCUGGCGGCGUGCCUAAUACAUGCAAGUCGAGCGAACAGACGAGGAGCUUGCUCCUCUGACGUUAGCGGCGGACGGGUGAGUAACACGUGGAUAACCUACCUAUAAGACUGGGAUAACUUCGGGAAACCGGAGCUAAUACCGGAUAAUAUAUUGAACCGCAUGGUUCAAUAGUGAAAGACGGUUUUGCUGUCACUUAUAGAUGGAUCCGCGCCGCAUUAGCUAGUUGGUAAGGUAACGGCUUACCAAGGCAACGAUGCGUAGCCGACCUGAGAGGGUGAUCGGCCACACUGGAACUGAGACACGGUCCAGACUCCUACGGGAGGCAGCAGUAGGGAAUCUUCCGCAAUGGGCGAAAGCCUGACGGAGCAACGCCGCGUGAGUGAUGAAGGUCUUCGGAUCGUAAAACUCUGUUAUUAGGGAAGAACAAAUGUGUAAGUAACUAUGCACGUCUUGACGGUACCUAAGCAGAAAGCCACGGCUAACUACGU
This 496-nucleotide ribosomal RNA is filed under the name uncultured bacterium. RNAcentral's name for it is "partial 16S ribosomal RNA". It matches the Rfam family "Bacterial small subunit ribosomal RNA", at positions 28 to 506 of the family's 1533-position model. The record is from RNAcentral.